Molecule: unclassified non-coding RNA, 491 nt
Filed under: Hevea brasiliensis (rubber tree)
Lineage: Eukaryota; Viridiplantae; Streptophyta; Magnoliopsida; Malpighiales; Euphorbiaceae
Source: RNAcentral
AGGACCACAAAGAUAGCAACCUGUCAUUUUACUAAAGCGUCAACAACAGACUAAGUAAAUAGUCUUAUUUUCAUUGAUCUUUAUCCACAUGAAAGAAACACGUGUUUAACAUUAAAAAUACAUAAUUUAUUUAGAAAAAUUCUGUAGUACGGUUAUGAGAAUGAAAAUAGUAGAAUUAGAAAACAUAAGCUGAAAUAAAGAGACAGCAAAACAAGUAUCUAGUGGAGAAGCAAAUCCAAUUGCUAAUUUAGAAAGAUGAUACUACCUCUGUCCACUUUUACAUGAUGUUUAAGGAUUUUGCAUGGUGAGUAAGAAAGCAAUUAACUUACCUAAAUUAUAACAAAAUUCUCCAUAAUUUAACUAAAUUACCCUUUAUCUCACAUGAUUAAAAGGGAGAGAGAGGGAGAUGAUGAGAUAAGUUAUAGAAAAUUGUAGAAAUAAUUAUUGUACUUAGUAGAGAUAAGGGUAAAAUUGGAAAAAAUAAUUAAUAU